Long non-coding RNA from Syzygium oleosum, 566 nucleotides. RefSeq lists it as uncharacterized. The record is from RefSeq and is a predicted model, not a curated record. The transcript has 5 exons. NCBI's taxonomy places the organism in Eukaryota, Viridiplantae, Streptophyta, Magnoliopsida, Myrtales, Myrtaceae.
UCUUUGAUUGAAUAACUGUGUGAUUGUUGAGGAUGGGCACGUUAUUGCGGCAGGAAGAAACCGGACUAAUGAGACACGAAAUGCAACAAGACAUGCAGAGAUGGACGUUCUUGAUGUUCUUCUUGAAUAGUGGCAGAGGACAGGAUUUUCAGCUGCAGAAGUUGCAGAAAAGUUUUCAGCAUGCUCCCUUUAUGUGACAUGUGAGCCAUGCAUAAUGUAUGCAGCAGCAUUAUCGAUCACUGGUAUGAAGGAAGUAUAUUGUGGCCAUGCAAAUGAUAAAUUUGGAGGCUGUGGCUUGAUACUGUCGUUGCAUUCAAGUACCUACGAGGCAUGCAUUAGCUCCAAAGCCUCACAUGCCAUGGGUUAAUCAUCAGGCUGCUUAUUCAAUCUGCAUGCAUUGAUUCUUCCUGUUGAAUCCUCUCAUACCUUUGCACAACUAGGUAGCAUACGAUCUUUCAGGUAAUGACCAAUAGGUUUCUCGACCAGGAGGACAAGCUUUUUCCUCGCAGCAUUGACAAGCUGGUCAAAACCUCACUUUUGGUCCAUAGAAGAAGCCACCUCGUGUG